UCUUAAGUGUUUCAUUUUGUCUUCACCUUGAAGUCUUUUCUGUGCACUUGCCCAAUACUAGGCCUCUUCUCGGGAUAAAUCCAGAGUGUGAGGAAAAUAAAGCGAAAGAAUUUAUGCACCAGGAGAUGGCAAUGGUGAUCUACAAUAGCAUCAAUCUAGCUGCGCAACAUUCAUAUUGUCUUCAGGCAAGCAAACAAGCCCAGUCUUCUAUGAGCGAAGCCUGGACACAUCGCUCCAUUUCUGCUCCUUAUCCUUGAGUUGUUCGGGUUAUUACUAAUCACUGUCAAGAGUUCUGCUUUAUUUUUUAUUGAAAUUACUGUUCGUGGUAGUAUUUUUUAACGAGCCGAUGUGUCUAAAUCAGAUCUUCUCUCCCAGUAUUGCAGAAGCUGUGAUGUCAUUUAAAAAAAAACACCAGAAGACAGAUACUAUUGAAUUAAACAUGCCAGUUGUCGAGGGAAGAAGAAAAAUCAAAUUAUCCUUGGAAGUCAGUGCCUGGAGGUGGAAGUUGGCAGUUGAUACUGUGAAGUAAUACAGUUGGAGACAUGGAUCAGAAGAUAUUAAAUUUUGCUGCCACUGAGAAAAUCCUUACAUUGUAGAAUAAGAGGCCAUGUAGCACAAGAUUUGGAGAAGGUGGUGUACAAAGAGUACAACAUGAAGCUGAGGAAUGGAGAUCUUUGUUAGAACUGCCAUUGUAAGAUUUACCAUAUUAAUCCGCCUCUUUAUGCUUCACCUAUCAAUAUGCUGCUUGGAUGACAAAAGGGAUGAAUCGCAAACUGCAAAAACAGUAGGUAAUACAGAUUCCAGUGGCGGAUCCUCGUUUGAUUUUGACUCCUGCAGAAGGAGAGAACUUUACUGGGCCUGCAAGGUUCUAGAAAAUAUCUACAAAGUAGAACUGUGCGAUCAGCCAAAUUCAGAGUGUUUUGUGUUGAGCUCUGACUCAAAGCAGAAUGGUCAUAUUCACUUCCAAGGCAAGGCUUAAUGAUUCCACAGAUCUCUUUGGAUCCAGAGAAAAUGGAUUUUGAUUAGCACAAAUUGAGCUUCUUUCAUUUUAAAAGUACAGUUUAGAAGAGCCUAUUAUGCAAACUGUUGAGUCUAGCUGUUCGUAAUGUGGCAUGAAUGCCAUUAAGAAGGAAAGCAGCAGGGUUCUGAAUUUGGCCAUUGUCAGGGAAUAUCCAGGGAGCAGACUGAACAUGAAGAUGGUUUGCCUUCCCCACUAUGAUGAUAUGCACUGUCUUAGUACUUAAAAUAUUACAGUAAUUGCAUUGUUUAUGAAAUGACCAUUUUAAGUUAUGUCAUUGCAGUUCAGAUUCCAGAAAGCCAUGAAACAGCAUGCUAUAGUUGAUGCCUUAACUGAUGUAACAGUUUUGAUAUGCAUUUCAGUACACAGUAAUGCUAUGCAAACCAUGUUGACUUAUAACUUAUCCUCCCUGAAUGCUCACUUUCUCUUGAACUUUCAGUGUUCAGAUGUGGAGGAUGGACUGCACGGGACCAGCAAAACUGCAAAAAGAGAGAGAGAAAAUGGGGAGAAAAUCCUCUUCUAAGGCUUAGAGCCAUGGGACUAAAAGUUGUGACUUAGAAACAGUAACAGAGAAACAACAUGGAAAACCAGCUUCUGUGACAGAUAACCUCCCAGUCAGUAGCUCAUGAGUUCUACCCAGGAAAUAUACCAUAUUUUUCGCUCCAUAAGACGCACCAAUUUUUUUAGGAGAAGAAAACAGGAAAAUAUAAUCUGUUUUCUUCGCUCCAUAAGACGCACAGACUUUCCACCCCCCCUGUUUUGUGGGAAAAAAGUGUGUCUUAUGGUGCGAAAAAUACGGUAAUAAAAAUAUAAUCAUGACAGGGAGGGGAGGAUCC
Molecule: long non-coding RNA, 1854 nt
Filed under: Pogona vitticeps (central bearded dragon)
Lineage: Eukaryota; Metazoa; Chordata; Lepidosauria; Squamata; Agamidae
Description: lncRNA (ENSPVIG00000009533.1)
Source: RNAcentral